Long non-coding RNA from Cygnus olor (mute swan), 764 nucleotides. RefSeq lists it as uncharacterized. Lineage: Eukaryota; Metazoa; Chordata; Aves; Anseriformes; Anatidae. The record is from RefSeq and is a predicted model, not a curated record. The transcript is spliced from 5 exons.
GUCCCGCAUAGCCAUGGCAUGGCAAAGCAGAGCGGAUCCGGCUCACAGCUCUUGGGGAGAGCCCUGCCUCCAAGGGAUGCUUUUAGUGCCCUGGGUCUCCGUGCAGCUGAGCUCAGGAUUCUCGGUUGUUUGGAUUCAGUGUACCUGAGAACUGGUUGUCAAAGCCUGCAAGGACUUGAGCUGCCUGUGGCACAUGAAGGAAGGCUAUACAAAGUUAGGCAGAGAAAACAGCUGGCCCGCUUUCAUUGUGGGAACAGGAAUGAGGAAGUUAAAUGUAAAAUUUUCCCUGAAGUGAAAGCAGAAUCCUUAUUAUGAAAUGGGUUGACUGCCAGGCUUUGCUGAAGCACUCAAAUUGCGGAGACAUGUAGAAGUGCCCUAGAUGACAGAGAUGAUGAUCCUGCCCCUAGCUGCGUGUUCAAGUCCUAAUGUCUCUUCCCUUACUUUCUGAUGCACAAAGACUUGGCAGUAGCAGCUUUUGCAGUUUCCCCGAUAUCAGCAAGCCGUUUAUCUCCUGGCAUAUCUCCAGGCAUAUUUCCUCCAUCUAGAUUAAGGAGCAUACAGCAGAAAGUCUAAGGAUUAUUCUUCUGGCAGUCUUGAAUGUUUCAAUGGACACUGCUUAAGAUCAAUGAGAAAAAGCAUCCUGCCACAUUCAGACUCUAGCUUUGAGGAAAGCGUGGCAAUAUUGAGUGAAAAUGUCAAUAGAGGACACUUUUCAAGGCAGUUGACAAAGCCGAAAUCAGACUGAUAAAGAGAAUCUAAUGCAG